ACACCGGCAGCUCAAGUGGUAGCCGCUUUUAUUGGGCCUAAAGCGUCCGUAGCCGGUCUGAUAAGUCUCUGGUGAAAUCCCACAGCUUAACUGUGGGAAUUGCUGGAGAUACUAUCAUGACUCGAGGUCGGGAGAGGCUGGAGGUACUCCCAGGGUAGGGGUGAAAUCCUGUAAUCCUGGGAGGACCACCUGUGGCGAAGGCGUCCAGCUGGAACGAACCUGACGGUGAGGGACGAAAGCCAGGGGCGCGAACCGGAUUAGAUACCCGGGUAGUCCUGGCCGUAAACGAUGUGGACUUGGUGUUGGGAUGGCUUCGAGCUGCCCCAGUGCCGAAGGGAAGCUGUUAAGUCCACCGCCUGGGAAGUACGGCCGCAAGGUUGAAACUCAAAGGAAUUGGCGGGG
This 402-nucleotide ribosomal RNA is filed under the name uncultured bacterium. RNAcentral describes it as "partial 16S ribosomal RNA". It matches the Rfam family "Archaeal small subunit ribosomal RNA", at positions 473 to 873 of the family's 1478-position model. The record is from RNAcentral.